CCCACUGGUCGCUUUGGGAUGCAGGCUGCAAUAACUUAGAUAUCCAGACACACUGGCCAACAGUAGCCAGUGAAAUCAUUGAUCAGCUCAUUACCUCUGCAGUAGUCCCCUGAAGAGUACAAAAUCCCAGCAUUGGGGAUAUGAGUCACUAGUAGUGGAGGGAGAUGUGGCAAACAUGAUGUACCCAAUCCUUCUUUCCUUCCCCUUGCGAAGCCAGCCAGAACUCCAGAUUCUCCUCGCUGAACUCUGUCUUCAGGAAGGCGCGGAAUGCAGCCACCCCAUCUACAAAGGGGAAACAUUGGAUUUAUGGAAAAAGGGAAGCAACUGCAGACAGCAUUGACACAGGGGUCACUCUCCAAAAACAGAAGCCUUGCCAGGGGACGUGAUGAACAGAG
Molecule: long non-coding RNA, 395 nt
Organism: Dermochelys coriacea (leatherback sea turtle)
Lineage: Eukaryota; Metazoa; Chordata; Testudines; Dermochelyidae
Exons: 3
Source: RefSeq, a predicted model, not a curated record